AGUGAACGCUGGCGGUAGGCCUAACACAUGCAAGUCGAACGGCAGCACAGUAAGAGCUUGCUCUUACGGGUGGCGAGUGGCGGACGGGUGAGGAAUACAUCGGAAUCUACUUUUUCGUGGGGGAUAACGUAGGGAAACUUACGCUAAUACCGCAUACGACCUACGGGUGAAAGCAGGGGAUCUUCGGACCUUGCGCGAUUGAAUGAGCCGAUGUCGGAUCAGCUAGUUGGCGGGGUAAAGGCCCACCAAGGCGACGAUCCGUAGCUGGUCUGAGAGGAUGAUCAGCGACACUAGAACGGAGACACCGUCCAGACUCCUACGGGAGGCAGCAGUGGGGAACAUUGGACAAUGGGCGCAAGCCUGAUCCAGCCAUACCGCGUGGGUGAAGAAGGCCUUCGGGUUGUAAAGCCCUUUUGUUGGGAAAGAAAAGCAGCAGGUUAAUACCCCGCUGUUCUGACGGUACCAAAAGAAUAAGCACCGGCUAACUUCGUG
This 492-nucleotide ribosomal RNA is filed under the name uncultured bacterium. RNAcentral's name for it is "partial 16S ribosomal RNA". It matches the Rfam family "Bacterial small subunit ribosomal RNA", at positions 29 to 507 of the family's 1533-position model. The record is from RNAcentral.